UACGGGGGGGGCAAGCGUUGUUCGGAAUUACUGGGCGUAAAGGGCUCGUAGGUGGCCAACUAAGUCAGACGUGAAAUCCCUCGGCUUAACCGGGGAACUGCGUCUGAUACUGGGAGGCUUGAGUAUGGGAGAGGGAUGUAGAAUUCCAGGUGUAGCGGUGAAAUGCGUAGAUAUCUGGAGGAAUACCGGUGGCGAAGGCGGCAUCCUGGACCAUAACUGACGCUGAGGCGCGAAAGCGUGGGUAGCAAACGGG
This 253-nucleotide ribosomal RNA is filed under the name uncultured bacterium. RNAcentral describes it as "partial 16S ribosomal RNA". It matches the Rfam family "Bacterial small subunit ribosomal RNA", at positions 524 to 776 of the family's 1533-position model. The record is from RNAcentral.